Molecule: ribosomal RNA, 253 nt
Filed under: uncultured bacterium
Lineage: Bacteria
Description: partial 16S ribosomal RNA
Rfam family: Bacterial small subunit ribosomal RNA
Source: RNAcentral
UACGGAGGGUGCAAGCGUUAAUCGGAAUUACUGGGCGUAAAGCGCGCGUAGGCGGCCAUGUAAGUCGGGUGUGAAAUCCCCGGGCUCAACCUGGGAAUUGCAUUCGAUACUGCAUGGCUGGAGUAUGGUAGAGGGUAGUGGAAUUCCGGGUGUAGCGGUGAAAUGCGUAGAUAUCCGGAGGAACACCAGUGGCGAAGGCGGCUACCUGGACCAAUACUGACGCUGAGGCGCGAAAGCCAGGGGAGCAAACAGG